UACGUAGGGUGCGAGCGUUAAUCGGAAUUACUGGGCGUAAAGCGUGCGCAGGCGGUUUUGUAAGUCAGAUGUGAAAGCCCCGGGCUCAACCUGGGAACUGCGUUUGAAACUACAAGGCUAGAGUAUGGCAGAGGGGGGUAGAAUUCCACGUGUAGCAGUGAAAUGCGUAGAGAUGUGGAGGAAUACCAAUGGCGAAGGCAGCCCCCUGGGUCAAUACUGACGCUCAUGCACGAAAGCGUGGGGAGCAAACAGG
RNAcentral lists this ribosomal RNA (253 nucleotides) under uncultured bacterium. RNAcentral describes it as "partial 16S ribosomal RNA". It matches the Rfam family "Bacterial small subunit ribosomal RNA", at positions 524 to 776 of the family's 1533-position model. The record is from RNAcentral.